AGGACGAACGCUGGCGGCGUGCUUAACACAUGCAAGUCGAGCGGAAAGGCCCUUCGGGGUACUCGAGCGGCGAACGGGUGAGUAACACGUGAGUAAUCUGCCCCUAGCUCUGGGAUAGCUCCGGGAAACCGGGAUUAAUACCAGAUAUGACCACUUUAGACAUCUGCUGUGGUGGAAAGAAUUUCGGCUAGGGAUGAGCUCGCGGCCUAUCAGCUUGUUGGUGGGGUAACGGCCUACCAAGGCGACGACGGGUAGCCGGCCUGAGAGGGCGACCGGCCACACUGGGACUGAGACACGGCCCAGACUCCUACGGGAGGCAGCAGUGGGGAAUAUUGCGCAAUGGGCGAAAGCCUGACGCAGCGACGCCGCGUGGGGGAUGAAGGCCUUCGGGUUGUAAACCCCUUUCAGCAGGGACGAAGCGAAGUGACGGUACUGCAGAAGAAGCGCCGGCUAACUACGUGCCAGCAGCCGC
RNAcentral lists this ribosomal RNA (472 nucleotides) under uncultured bacterium. RNAcentral's name for it is "SSU rRNA". It matches the Rfam family "Bacterial small subunit ribosomal RNA", at positions 26 to 518 of the family's 1533-position model. The record is from RNAcentral.